AGCCAGUGGCCCAGAGGCUGAGCCCUGCCCAGAGCUCCACACGGAGCCAAUGGAGCCACUGACUCGGGCAUCCUCGGCAGGCCCUGAGGGUGGAGGAGUCCGCCCCGAGCAGCCCUUUAUUGUGCUGGGACAGGAGGAGUACGGGGAACACCACUCAUCCAUCAUGCACUGCAGAGUGGAUUGCUCUGGGAGGAGAGUCGCCAGCUUAGACGUAGAUGGGGUCAUCAAAGUGUGGUCCUUCAACCCCAUCAUGCAGACCAAAGCAUCCUCCAUUUCCAAAUCACCGCUGCUGUCUUUGGAAUGGGCCACCAAACGGGACAGACUGCUCUUGCUGGGCAGUGGUGUGGGAACAGUGCGUCUCUAUGACACGGAAGCCAAGAAGAAUCUCUGUGAAAUCAAUAUCAACGACGACAUGCCCAGGAACCAGCCUCAGGACCAAAGUGCACCCUCCCUCUGUGGGCAGGCGGAGGGUCUGACCCAGGCCCAUGUGUGUUGCAGAAUCCUGUCUCUUGCGUGCAGCCCCAACGGGGCCUCUUUCGUCUGUUCGGCAGCAGCUCCGAGCCUCACUUCCCAGGUGGACUUCUCAGCACCAGACAUCGGCAGCAAGGGCAUGAACCAGGUUCCUGGCAGGCUGCUGCUGUGGGACACGAAAACCAUGAAGCAGCAGGUACGGGCCUGCCCUG
RNAcentral lists this small RNA (683 nucleotides) under Pan troglodytes (chimpanzee). Its description in RNAcentral is "retained intron". The record is from RNAcentral. Lineage: Eukaryota; Metazoa; Chordata; Mammalia; Primates; Hominidae.